GCCGGGGUGGCGGAACUGGUAGACGCGCCGGAUUCAAAAUCCGGUUCCUUCACGGGAGUGCCGGUUCGAUUCCGGCCCUCGGUA
RNAcentral lists this transfer RNA (84 nucleotides) under Pseudomonadales bacterium. Its description in RNAcentral is "tRNA-Leu". It matches the Rfam family "tRNA". Rfam says of the family: Transfer RNA (tRNA) molecules are approximately 80 nucleotides in length. Their secondary structure includes four short double-helical elements and three loops (D, anti-codon, and T loops). Lineage: Bacteria; Pseudomonadati; Pseudomonadota; Gammaproteobacteria; Pseudomonadales. The record is from RNAcentral.